GCAUAUCAAUAAGCGGAGGAAAAGAAACCAACAGGGAUUGCCUCAGUAACGGCGAGUGAAGCGGCAACAGCUCAAAUUUGAAAUCUGGCCCUCGGGUCCGAGUUGUAAUUUGUAGAGGAUGCUUUUGGCGCGGUGCCUUCCGAGUUCCYUGGAACGGGACGCCUUAGAGGGUGAGAGCCCCGUACGGUUGGACACCAAGCCUCUGUAAAGCUCCUUCGACGAGUCGAGUAGUUUGGGAAUGCUGCUCUAAAUGGGAGGUAAAUUUCUUCUAAAGCUAAAUAUUGGCCAGAGACCGAUAGCGCACAAGUAGAGUGAUCGAAAGAUGAAAAGCACUUUGAAAAGAGGGUUAAAUAGCACGUGAAAUUGUUGAAAGGGAAGCGUUUGCGACCAGACCUUUUCCUGGCGGAUCAUCCGGUGUUCUCACCGGUGCACUUCGCCAGGUCGAGGCCAGCAUCGGUUUCCGCGGGGGGAUAAAAGCUCUGGGAACGUAGCUCCUCCGGGAGUGUUAUAGCCCUCUGCACAAUACCCCCGCGGGGACCGAGGACCGCGCUCUAAGCAAGGAUGCUGGCGUAAUGGUUGUCAACGACCCGUCUUGAAACACGGACCAAGGAGUCGAACAUUUGUGCGAGUGUUUGGGUGUCAAACCCUCACGCGUAAUGAAGGUGAACGUAGGUGAGAGCCCUUACGGGUGCAUCAUCGACCGAUCCUGAUGUCUUCGGAUGGAUUUGAGUAAGAGCAUAACUGUUCGGACCCGAAAGAUGGUGAACUAUGCGUGGAUAGGGUGAAGCCAGAGGAAACUCUGGUGGAGGCUCGCAGCGGUUCUGACGUGCAAAUCGAUCGUCAAAUCUGCGCAUGGGGGCGAAAGACUUWUCGAACCAUCUAGUAGCUGGUUACCGCCGAAGU
RNAcentral lists this ribosomal RNA (903 nucleotides) under Rosellinia necatrix. RNAcentral's name for it is "LSU rRNA". It matches the Rfam family "Eukaryotic large subunit ribosomal RNA", at positions 38 to 967 of the family's 3401-position model. Lineage: Eukaryota; Fungi; Ascomycota; Sordariomycetes; Xylariales; Xylariaceae. The record is from RNAcentral.